RNAcentral lists this ribosomal RNA (373 nucleotides) under uncultured organism. RNAcentral's name for it is "partial 16S ribosomal RNA". It matches the Rfam family "Bacterial small subunit ribosomal RNA", at positions 527 to 896 of the family's 1533-position model. The record is from RNAcentral.
GUAGGUGGCAAGCGUUGUCCGGAAUUAUUGGGCGUAAAGCGCGCGCAGGCGGUUCUUUAAGCCUGAUGUGAAAGCCCACGGCUCAACCGUGGAGGGUCAUUGGAGACUGGAGAACUUGAGUACAGAAGAGGAAAGCGGAAUUCCACGUGUAGCGGUGAAAUGCGUAGAGAUGUGGAGGAACACCAGUGGCGAAGGCGGCUUUCUGGUCUGUAACUGACGCUGAGGCGCGAAAGCGUGGGGAGCAAACAGGAUUAGAUACCCUGGUAGUCCACGCCGUAAACGAUGAGUGCUAAGUGUUAGGGGGUUUUCCGCCCCCCUUAGUGCUGCAGCUAACGCAUUAAGCACUCCGCCUGGGAGUACGGCCGCAAGGCUG